UUCACAAUCUUUCGGCACCCAACGCCGACGCUCAUCAGACCCCAGAAAAGGUGUUGGUCGAUAUAGACAGCAGGACGGUGGCCAUGGAAGUUGGAAUCCGCUAAGGA
This is a long non-coding RNA of Thalassophryne amazonica, 107 nucleotides long. RefSeq lists it as uncharacterized. The transcript has 3 exons. NCBI's taxonomy places the organism in Eukaryota, Metazoa, Chordata, Actinopteri, Batrachoidiformes, Batrachoididae. The record is from RefSeq and is a predicted model, not a curated record.